UACGGAGGGUGCAAGCGUUAUCCGGAUUCACUGGGUUUAAAGGGUGCGUAGGUGGGAAGGUAAGUCAGUGGUGAAAUCCCUGAGCUUAACUUGGGAACUGCCAUUGAUACUAUCUUUCUUGAAUACCUUGGAGGUGAGCGGAAUAUGUCAUGUAGCGGUGAAAUGCUUAGAUAUGACAUAGAACACCAAUUGCGAAGGCAGCUCACUACACGGUCAUUGACACUGAGGCACGAAAGCGUGGGGAGCAAACAGG
RNAcentral lists this ribosomal RNA (253 nucleotides) under uncultured bacterium. RNAcentral describes it as "partial 16S ribosomal RNA". It matches the Rfam family "Bacterial small subunit ribosomal RNA", at positions 524 to 776 of the family's 1533-position model. The record is from RNAcentral.